This is a transfer RNA of Apaloderma vittatum (bar-tailed trogon), 58 nucleotides long. It matches the Rfam family "tRNA", at positions 8 to 63 of the family's 71-position model. Rfam says of the family: Transfer RNA (tRNA) molecules are approximately 80 nucleotides in length. Their secondary structure includes four short double-helical elements and three loops (D, anti-codon, and T loops). The record is from Rfam. Lineage: Eukaryota; Metazoa; Chordata; Aves; Trogoniformes; Trogonidae.
UAGCUCAGUCGGUUGAGCGUGGCGCUGACAACGCUAAGGUUGUGGGUUCGAUUCCCGU